GGAAAGGCAAGCCAAUGGGCGAUGGCACCCCGCUCGAACCGGGACGAGCCGCUACGGCCUUGCGGGUUCGACUCCCGCCCUUUCCG
RNAcentral lists this transfer RNA (86 nucleotides) under Planctomycetales bacterium. RNAcentral's name for it is "tRNA-Ser". It matches the Rfam family "tRNA". Rfam says of the family: Transfer RNA (tRNA) molecules are approximately 80 nucleotides in length. Their secondary structure includes four short double-helical elements and three loops (D, anti-codon, and T loops). Lineage: Bacteria; Pseudomonadati; Planctomycetota; Planctomycetia; Planctomycetales. The record is from RNAcentral.